AAUUCUUCUUUUGGAUAAAAAAACUAAUUUCUAAAAGAGAUUAUUUAAAAUAAUCGUAUUCUUUUGUUUUUUCUUUGUGAUUGUUUAUUCUUGGGAAAAAAUUGAAAUGAAUUUAUAUAAAAUAAAAAGAAAAUUUUUAUGAAGAAAAUAAAAAAAUUCUCUUCCUUUAAUUUUUUUUUAAUAAUAUCUUCUUUCAUAUAUUUUAACAAAUAAAAUUGUUAAAUUUAUUUAAUUAUCGACGCGCUCUAAGUUUAUACACAGUUCGUUGUGAUUUUAGUAGAUGGCAAGUAGUGGCGCCAUUUUUAAAUUAUUUCGAAAUCGAUUGACGACAUAUUUGGUUACGGUAAACAGGAUUGAAUCAUUGGAAAAACUAGAACGUAAAUUAAUCCUUUUUUUAUAACGAUCAAUUUCAGUAUAACUUUCUUUUUUAUCAAUAGAAAUUAAUGUGAAGCGUAUUACAAAUAGUAAAAAAGAAUAUUUAAAUGUAAAGAAAGAUGAUUAGAUAUAGAUACUUGGAAAUGGAACAUUGAUCGGUACGAUGCGCAGGCCUGCGAUCAUACAUUCGGUGCAAUAUUCGUAGAAGACAGGUGCUAGAGUCACAAGAAUGUUUCUAACAAGAAUAAUGGUGGCAAAAUAAUUAAAUAAUAUAUAUUUUUCUUUAAUUAUAAAAAAAAAACUUCUUCUCAAUAUCACGCGAAAGGUAUUAUUUUUUUUGUUUUCGAUAAAAACUAAAAACGAGAACAAAUCGAAUAGAGGAAUGUGUGAAAGAAUUAUUUGUUUCCAUUUGCAGUGUGUAUAAUUGUGUCUACGAUUAGUAUCUAAUUUAUGGAUAAAAAUCUAGAAAAUAAUAGUGUGCAUUGUGUGCAUCGCGUCGUCGUCUUCUUCAUUCUCUUCCUCGUUGUACUUGGAAUCCAUUGAAUUAUAAACGUCGAUGAAACGAUCAGGAGUAACUUCGAGGAGGAAUCUGCGUCAUUUGCAGGAUACGAAGAUGUCAGGAAAAAAUCUCGAGAUGAGGGAAACAGCUGCACGUAUCUGUCGAGAUUAUCUUCAUGGUGUUUGGAAGCGUGUUACUGCUGAGAACAUUACCCUAAAACGUAUCAGCGGUGGCCUGAGUAAUUGGCUUUACAAUGUUCAAUUGCCAGACGGUGCUGUACCAAUACGCGGAGAACCGCGGCAAGUUUUAUUACGAUUGUACGGUCAAGUACACGGGGAAAGGGCGUUGGAGGGACUUAUCACCGAAUCCGUCAUAUUCACGCUACUUUCAGAGAGGCGACUUGGUCCCAAAUUGCACGGCAUAUUUCCCGGUGGACGUAUCGAAGAAUACAUACCGGCUAGACCAUUGUUAACCAAAGAAUUGUCCGAUCCAACAUUGAGCACGAUGAUAGGUGAAAAAAUGGGACAGAUACACACGAUGCAAGUACCGAUUAGUAAAGAACCUACUUGGUUAUGGGAUACCAUGGCCAAGUGGCUUGCCACAGCAACAGAUAUUUUAGAAACUGUUGAUGAGGUAGAUCCCCGUCAACACGAAAACGUUUACACUCUAAGAUCGAUAGAUCUCGAAAAGGAAAUCAAUUGGUUCAGGGACCUUGUCGCUCGAGAAAAAUAUCCAGUAGUAUUUUGUCACAACGAUAUGCAAGAGGGUAAUAUCCUUCUACGACAAAACUCACGGAAAACUGAGUUAGUUGUUAUCGACUUUGAAUAUUGUUCAUACAACUACAGAGGCUUCGAUAUCGCUAAUCAUUUCAUCGAAUGGCAGUACGAUUACACGGAAGGGAAUUAUCCAUUCUUCCAAGAACGAACUGAUUCUGGGCCUUCUAAAGAGCAGAAGUUUCACAGGACUGCAAUUGAGGGAUUGAGAGACAGGAUCGAUGCACGCUAUCAGGAUAAAUUGGGCGGCAUAUGAAUCUUGCCACUGCGACGUAUCCUGACUCGUACUCUCCAAGUUAUGGAACCAGAACCACCUGUGUGCCAUCUACCCCAUGGCGAAACAGCACACCCUCCCACAUCUGCUCGUCUACGAACCUAGACUCAAUUUUAUCAAGAGUUACUUGAGAACAGUCCAGAAGGAAUCACAGACGGAAGAAGAACGUAUUAUGAUGGAAAUUAAAAUAUUUUCUUUAGCCAGUCAUUUGUUUUGGGGACUCUGGAGUAUUGUCAAUGCUAAAUUAUCUGAAAUACCGUUUGGAUAUUG
Molecule: unclassified non-coding RNA, 2191 nt
Filed under: Polistes canadensis
Lineage: Eukaryota; Metazoa; Arthropoda; Insecta; Hymenoptera; Vespidae
Description: choline/ethanolamine kinase, transcript variant X2
Source: RNAcentral